AUUGAACGCUGGCGGCAUGCUUUACACAUGCAAGUCGAACGGUAACAGGGAGCUUGCUCCGCUGACGAGUAGCGAACGGGUGAGUAAUAUAUCGGAACGUGCCCAAGAGUGGGGGAUAACGUAGCGAAAGUUACGCUAAUACCGCAUACGAUCUACGGAUGAAAGCAGGGGACCGCAAGGCCUUGUGCUCCUGGAGCGGCCGAUAUCUGAUUAGCUAGUUGGUGAGGUAAAGGCUCACCAAGGCGACGAUCAGUAGCUGGUCUGAGAGGACGACCAGCCACACUGGAACUGAGACACGGUCCAGACUCC
This 309-nucleotide ribosomal RNA is filed under the name uncultured Oxalobacteraceae bacterium. Its description in RNAcentral is "bacterial SSU rRNA". It matches the Rfam family "Bacterial small subunit ribosomal RNA", at positions 30 to 339 of the family's 1533-position model. The record is from RNAcentral. Lineage: Bacteria; Pseudomonadati; Pseudomonadota; Betaproteobacteria; Burkholderiales; Oxalobacteraceae.